Long non-coding RNA from Phalaenopsis equestris, 489 nucleotides. RefSeq lists it as uncharacterized. Lineage: Eukaryota; Viridiplantae; Streptophyta; Magnoliopsida; Asparagales; Orchidaceae. The transcript is spliced from 2 exons. The record is from RefSeq and is a predicted model, not a curated record.
UCCAAUCUCGAUUUGAACCAAAUAUCUAAUCAAUUUUCAAACCAUUAACAAUCUCCAAGCAAAACUCACACCCCUAACCACACAUGCAUAUAUUGCCCUGCAUAUUCUUGCUCCUCUUCAUUGUCUUCUUCUCCCCUCUUGUGCUGAGAUUGAGAAGAUGGUCAUGAUUGUUGGCAAGCAGCUGCAGAAGCUGGUGGGCGAUCUCAAAUCGAAAUUGAAGAAGCCAUUGAAGUCGCAGAAACCUUACAGCAAGAUGGACAAGACUGACAGCAUGAGAGUGGAGAUCAAGAGCAGGAAGGCUCAGAAGCUUAUUGCUGAUACACUGAAGAUUGCUGACUCUCCCACUGGCUGCAGAAGCUAUGCUUUUUGAUUCAAUUUGUUCAUUCAUGAGGUUAGGAUUAUGAAGAAUUAUUAUGGGAGUUCCAUUUUGUAUCUCUUUUUGUUAUGAAGAUUCCAAGCCCCAAAUGGAUUUUAUUUUUAUUUUUGUUU